UGGGGAAUAUUGCACAAUGGGCGAAAGCCUGAUGCAGCAACGCCGCGUGAGUGAUGAAGGUCUUCGGAUUGUAAAGCUCUGUCUUUUGGGACGAUAAUGACGGUACCAAAGGAGGAAGCCACGGCUAACUACGUGCCAGCAGCCGCGGUAAUACGUAGGUGGCGAGCGUUGUCCGGAUUUACUGGGCGUAAAGGGUGCGUAGGCGGAUGUUUAAGUGAGAUGUGAAAUACCCGGGCUUAACUUGGGUGCUGCAUUUCAAACUGGAUAUCUAGAGUGCAGGAGAGGAGAAUGGAAUUCCUAGUGUAGCGGUGAAAUGCGUAGAGAUUAGGAAGAACACCAGUGGCGAAGGCGAUUCUCUGGACUGUAACUGACGCUGAGGCACGAAAAGCGUGGGUAGCAAACAGGAUUAGAUACCCUGGUAGUCCACGCCGUAAACGAUGAGUACUAGGUGUAGGAGGUAUCGACCCCUUCUGUGCCGCAGUAAACACAUUAAGUACUCCGCCUGGGAAGUACGAUCGCAAGAUUAAAAC
This 530-nucleotide ribosomal RNA is filed under the name uncultured bacterium. RNAcentral describes it as "partial 16S ribosomal RNA". It matches the Rfam family "Bacterial small subunit ribosomal RNA", at positions 355 to 900 of the family's 1533-position model. The record is from RNAcentral.